This 897-nucleotide ribosomal RNA is filed under the name uncultured archaeon. RNAcentral describes it as "bacterial SSU rRNA". It matches the Rfam family "Archaeal small subunit ribosomal RNA", at positions 19 to 903 of the family's 1478-position model. The record is from RNAcentral.
AGAGGCUACUGCCAUCAGAGUUCGAUUAAGCCAUGUUAGUCGAGGGUACCUCUUCUUCUUCGGAGGAUGAGGUAACCCGGCGGACGGCUCAGUAACACGUGGAUAACUUGCCCUUGGGUCUGGGAUAACCCCUGGGAAACUGGGGCUAAUACCGGAUAGAGCAUCAAUCGCUGGAAUGCAUGAUGCUCGAAAACUACGGUGCCCAAGGAUAGGUCUGCGGCUGAUUAGGUUGUUGUUGAUGUAAUGGACCAACAAGCCUACGAUCGGUACGGGUUGUGAGAGCAAUAGCCCGGAGAUGGGUUCUGAGAAAAGAACCCAGGUCCUACGGGACGCAUCAGGCGCGAAAACUUUACAAUGUGCGAAAGCACGAUAAGGGAACUCUGAGUGCCCCCUAAGGGGGCUGUUCUAGUGUCUAAAAAGCAAUAGAAGUAAGGGCUGGGCAAGACCGGUGCCAGCCGCCGCGGUAACACCGGCAGCCCAAGUGGUAGCCACGUUUAUUGGGUCUAAAGCGUUCGUAGCCGGCUUGGUAAGUUCCUUGGUAAAUUUAGCCGCUUAACGGUUAAGCUUUCAGGGAAUACUGCUUGGCUUGGGACUGGGAGAGGUCAGAGGUACUUCAGGGGUAGGAGUGAAAUCUUGUAAUCCCUGGGGGACCAUCUGUGGCGAAGGCGUCUUACCAGAACGGGUCUGACGGUGAGGGACGAAAGCUGGGGGCGCAAACCGGAUUAGAUACCCGGGUAGUCCCAGCCGUAAACGAUGCUCGCUAUGUGUCAGGUACGGUGUGACCGUAUCUGGUGCCGUAGGGAAGCCGUGAAGCGAGCCACCUGGGAAGUACGGUCGCAAGACUGAAACUUAAAGGAAUUGGCGGGGGAGCACUACAACGGGUGGAGCCUGCGGUUC